CCUACGGGAGGCAGCAGUGGGGAAUAUUGGGCAAUGGGCGCAAGCCUGACCCAGCAACGCCGCGUGAAGGAAGAAGGCUUACGGGUUGGAAACGUCUUUUUGCAGGGACGAAGAAAGUGACGGGACCGGAGGAAUAAGCAACGGCUAACGACGGGCCAGAAGCAGCGGUAAGACGUAGGUGGCAAGCGUUAUCCGGAUUUACUGGGUUUAAAGGGCGUGUAGGCGGGACGGGACGGCAGAUGUGAACUUCCCGGGCUCCCCCCUGGAACGGCAUUUGAAACGGUCGUUCUUGAGUGCUGGGGAGGCAGGCGCAAUUCCUUGUGUAGCGGUGCAAUGCGUAGAUAUCC
This 347-nucleotide ribosomal RNA is filed under the name uncultured bacterium. RNAcentral describes it as "partial 16S ribosomal RNA". It matches the Rfam family "Bacterial small subunit ribosomal RNA", at positions 338 to 699 of the family's 1533-position model. The record is from RNAcentral.